CUUAUGACGAGGUUUGGGCCAAGGAUUGACAUUUAUUUUAGUUUCCCUCGUUGAUUCCACAACCAGCUGGGCAUCAAGAAAACCCAGCCAACAACCACAACCAAACAGGGUGGAUAGGGAUGUCGCAGCAGGGCACAGGUUCAGUGGUGGAUUUCGACCUCCCCGACGAGAUUCUGUCGGUGAUACCAACGGACCCAUACCAGCAGCUGGAUCUGGCUCGCAAGAUAACCUCCAUGGCCAUUGCCUCCCGUGUCUCUUCUCUCGAAUCCGAUGCAUCUCGCCUCCGCCAGAAGCUUCUCGAAAAGGACCGAAUCAUCCUCGACCUCGAAGACCGCCUCUCCUCCCUCACCCGCGCUUCCCACCAAUCCGACUCCACCCUCAACACCGCCCUCAACGAAAACAUAAAGCUUACGAAGGAGAGGGAUCAAUUGGCAGCAACAGUGAAGAAGCUAAGUCGAGACUUCGCCAAGUUGGAGACAUUUAAAAAACAAUUGAUGCAGUCGCUAACUGAUGACAAUGCAUUGCAUGCUGAAACUACAGAUAUUGGAACCUGUGACCAAUCAGUUCCAAAGGCAUAUCCUGAUAAGGAUGAUGAUCGAAGUGGCAAUAUGGCACAUCAUUCAUACAAUGGCCCUGCAGAUGUGGGUAAAACAAAUGACGAAGCUUCCAGGUAUUCAGGGCAAAGGUUUUCUUUGACCCCAUAUAUCACACCACGUCUUACACCGACGGGAACUCCAAAGGUGAUUUCAACGGCUGGGUCUCCUAGAGGAUAUUCUGCAGCUGUAUCACCCAAGAAAACUUCUGGUUUUACCUCUCCUACAAAACUUCCAUAUGAUGGGCGCACAUCUCUCUCUUCAUGGUAUUCAUCUAGUCAGCAGUCAUCAGCAGCAAACUCCCCACCACGGGGACGAUCGCUUCCAGGUCGAACUCCAAAGAUUGAUGGAAAGGAGUUUUUUCGUCAGGCCAGGAGUCGCCUUUCAUAUGAGCAGUUCAGUGCAUUUCUUGCCAACAUAAAGGAAUUAAAUGCUCAGAAGCAAACACGGGAGGAAACUUUAAGAAAAGCAGAUGAGAUAUUUGGGUCAGAUAACAAAGAUCUGUACUUAUCUUUUCAAGGAUUGCUUAACCGUAAUGCACGCUAGUACUGAAAGCAGCAUUGCUGAGUAUUGUAUGAGUUGUUGUCUCUAGCCACCGUUGACCAUUGCCAUUUUUUUCUAAUGAUCAUUGGAUCUGGUGUGCCUCACCAAGUGCGGCCUAACCUAGAAGUUUUCGAAGUCCAAAACCCUAUAACGUGCCCACAUGUGUCGUUCUGUGACUCUGCCAGGCGCGUGCUGCUAAUGCGUCAGUCUUCGGAACUCAGGCACAACACCACGGUUACUGAGCCAACUUGGGUUUCUUGGACCAAUAUUGACUUUCUUCUUCGAUCCAUUGAAUCAAAAUCAAAAGAAGCACUAUUAUGAGCCACUGAAUUUGGGGUUGUUGUUAUGCUCACCUAGCACAAUUGCUGGUACAUCCAGCAAAACAAUAAAAUUCCAUCUUUGCCCUUUUGUAGAGCUAAUACGGAUUGACGAAUUCGUAAGCCUCAUAUGUAAGCGGAAUACGGAUUGAUCAAUCCGUAUUGGCCUUACGGAUUGUCAAUUUGUAUGAGGUUCAAACAAUUUUUUGCAAUAUUUUCUUAAUGGCAUGCACUUCUAGUUAAAAUGGUGAAUGAAUUUUGCAAGGUUUUGGUUUAUUCAACGAGUGUCAUGGGAAUUUUUUUAAGAUGAAUGUGGCAACACUCAAUCUGAUCUGCAAGUAAAAAUAAUAGUUUGAAUGUUA
RNA transcript from Glycine soja, 1815 nucleotides. RefSeq lists it as uncharacterized. The record is from RefSeq and is a predicted model, not a curated record. NCBI's taxonomy places the organism in Eukaryota, Viridiplantae, Streptophyta, Magnoliopsida, Fabales, Fabaceae. The transcript has 11 exons.